GCGGCGAGUGAAGCGGCAAAAGCUCAAAUUUGAAAUCUGGCGCCUUCGGUGUCCGAGUUGUAAUUUGAAGAUUGUAACCUUGGGGUUGGCUCUUGUCUAUGUUUCUUGGAACAGGACGUCACAGAGGGUGAGAAUCCCGUGCGAUGAGAUGCCCAAUUCUAUGUAAGGUGCUUUCGAAGAGUCGAGUUGUUUGGGAAUGCAGCUCUAAGUGGGUGGUAAAUUCCAUCUAAAGCUAAAUAUUGGCGAGAGACCGAUAGCGAACAAGUACAGUGAUGGAAAGAUGAAAAGAACUUUGAAAAGAGAGUGAAAAAGUACGUGAAAUUGUUGAAAGGGAAGGGUUUGAGAUCAGACUCGAUAUUUUGUGAGCCUUGCCUUCGUGGCGGGGUGACCCGCAGCUUAUCGGGCCAGCAUCGGUUUGGGCGGUAGGAUAAUGGCGUAGGAAUGUGACUUUACUUCGGUGAAGUGUUAUAGCCUGCGUUGAUGCUGCCUGCCUAGACCGAGGACUGCGAUUUUAUCAAGGAUGCUGGCAUAAUGAUCCCAAACCGCCCGUCUUGAAG
Molecule: ribosomal RNA, 557 nt
Filed under: Meyerozyma guilliermondii
Lineage: Eukaryota; Fungi; Ascomycota; Pichiomycetes; Serinales; Debaryomycetaceae
Description: partial large subunit ribosomal RNA
Rfam family: Eukaryotic large subunit ribosomal RNA
Source: RNAcentral